AAUGAACGUUGGCGGCGUGGAUUAGGCAUGCAAGUCGAGCGUGUACCCCGCAAGGGGGAAAGCGGCAAACGGGGUAGGAACGCGUAGGUCACGUACCCCUCGGCCGGGGAUAGCCACGGGAAACUGUGGGUAAUACCCGAUGACGCCGAGAGGCCAAAGGUGUGAUUCCGCCGGGGGAGCGGCCUGCGUAGUAUUAGCUAGUUGGUGAGGUAACGGCUCACCAAGGCGAAGAUGCUUAGGGGGUGUGAGAGCAUGACCCCCACCACUGGGACUGAGAUACUGCCCAGACACCUACGGGUGGCUGCAGUCGAGAAUCUUCGGCAAUGGGGGCAACCCUGACCGAGCGACGCCGCGUGUGGGAUGAAGGCCCUUGGGUUGUAAACCACUGUCAGAGGGGAUGAAACGAUCAUGGGUUCUCCCAUGGUCCUGACAUAGCCUCAGAGGAAGCACGGGCUAAGUUCGUGCCAGCAGCCGCGGUAAUACGAACUGUGCAAAACGUUAUUCGGAAUCACUGGGA
RNAcentral lists this ribosomal RNA (517 nucleotides) under uncultured bacterium. Its description in RNAcentral is "bacterial SSU rRNA". It matches the Rfam family "Bacterial small subunit ribosomal RNA", at positions 28 to 559 of the family's 1533-position model. The record is from RNAcentral.